Molecule: ribosomal RNA, 474 nt
Filed under: Triticum aestivum (bread wheat)
Lineage: Eukaryota; Viridiplantae; Streptophyta; Magnoliopsida; Poales; Poaceae
Description: partial small subunit ribosomal RNA
Source: RNAcentral
AUGGUUGAUGGAGAGGCAGAGUGUGUGGUCGAGGAAUCUGACUGUGACAUUAGGAAGUUCCCGGUGACCUACCUUGGCUUGCCUCUGACUGAUGGGCGCCUGCGACGGGAGGACCUGCAGCCGGCCCUUGACAGUCUGUCCAAGAGAUUGAGAGGGUGGAAAGCCAAGCUGAUUGCACUGCCGGGAAGAAUUGAACUGGUUAGAACCACCCUCUCUGCAAUGGCAAUUUAUCGGAUAAUGCCGAUUGCGCCGCCAAAGUGGUUCAUCAAGAUGGUGGAUAGGCUGUGUAGGGGCUUCCUUUGGGCGGCGGACGAGGUUUCCCCAGCUGGUAAAUGCUUAGUAAGAUGGAGCAAUGUCUGUCGGCCUCGAGAGCUCGGAGGGCUGGGCAUCCAUGACCUGAGACAGGGAAGCACCUUACGGGCCCGCUGGUGUUGGCUCACAUGGACUGAUAGAGACCGGCCUUGGGGUAAUCUG